Molecule: ribosomal RNA, 468 nt
Filed under: uncultured bacterium
Lineage: Bacteria
Description: partial 16S ribosomal RNA
Rfam family: Bacterial small subunit ribosomal RNA
Source: RNAcentral
GACGAACGCUGGCGGCGUGCUUAACACAUGCAAGUCGAACGGAAAGGCCCUGCUUUUGUGGGGUGCUCGAGUGGCGAACGGGUGAGUAACACGUGAGUAACCUGCCCUUGACUUUGGGAUAACUUCAGGAAACUGGGGCUAAUACCGGAUAGGAGCUCCUGCUGCAUGGUGGGGGUUGGAAAGUUUCGGCGGUUGGGGAUGGACUCGCGGCUUAUCAGCUUGUUGGUGGGGUAGUGGCUUACCAAGGCUUUGACGGGUAGCCGGCCUGAGAGGGUGACCGGCCACAUUGGGACUGAGAUACGGCCCCGCCUACUACGGGAGGCAGCAGUGGGGAAUAUUGCACCAUGGGCGGAAGCCUGAUGCGGCAACGCCGCGUGCGGGAUGACGGACUUCGGGUUGUAAACCGCUUUCGCCUGUGACGAAGCGUGAGUGACGGUAAUGGGUAAAGAAGCACCGGCUAACUACGUG